GGACGAACGCUGGCGGCGGGCUUACCCCAUGCAAGUCGAACGGAAAGGCCCUGCUUUUGUGGGUUGCUCGAGUGGCGAACGGGUGAGUAACACGUGAGUAACCUGCCCUUGACUUUGGGAUAACUUCAGGAAACUGGGGCUAAUACCGGAUAGGAGCUCCUGCUGCAUGGUGGGGGUUGGAAAGUUUCGGCGGUUGGGGAUGGACUCGCGGCUUAGCAGCUUGUUGGUGGGGUAGUGGCUUACCAAGGCUUUGACGGGUAGCCGGCAUGAGAGGGUGACCGGCCACAUUGGGCCUGCGAUACGGACCAGAGUCCUACGGGAGGCAGCAGUGGGGAAUAUUGCACAAUGGGCGGAAGCCUGAUGAAGCAACGCCGCGUGCGGGAUGACGGCCUUCGGGUUGUAAACCGCUUUCGCCUGUGACGAAGCGUGAGUGACGGUAAUGGGUAAAGAAGCACCGGCUAACUACGUG
RNAcentral lists this ribosomal RNA (469 nucleotides) under uncultured bacterium. RNAcentral describes it as "partial 16S ribosomal RNA". It matches the Rfam family "Bacterial small subunit ribosomal RNA", at positions 27 to 507 of the family's 1533-position model. The record is from RNAcentral.